This 506-nucleotide ribosomal RNA is filed under the name uncultured bacterium. RNAcentral's name for it is "partial 16S ribosomal RNA". It matches the Rfam family "Bacterial small subunit ribosomal RNA", at positions 29 to 523 of the family's 1533-position model. The record is from RNAcentral.
AGUGAACGCUGGCGGUAGGCCUAGCACAUGCAAGUCGAACGGCAGCACAGGAGAGCUUGCUCUCUGGGUGGCGAGUGGCGGACGGGUGAGGAAUACAUCGGAAUCUACUUUUUCGUGGGGGAUAACGUAGGGAAACUUACGCUAAUACCGCAUACGACCUACGGGUGAAAGCAGGGGACCUUCGGGCCUUGCGCGAUUGAAUGAGCCGAUGUCGGAUUAGCUAGUUGGCGGGGUAAAGGCCCACCAAGGCGACGAUCCGUAGCUGGUCUGAGAGGAUGAGCAGCCACACUGGAACUGAGACACGGUCCAGACUCCUACGGGAGGCAGCAGUGGGGAAUAUUGGACAAUGGGCGCAAGCCUGAUCCAGCCAUACCGCGUGGGUGAAGAAGGCCUUCGGGUUGUAAAGCCCUUUUGUUGGGAAAGAAAUCCAGCUGGCUAAUACCCGGUUGGGAUGACGGUACCCAAAGAAUAAGCACCGGCUAACUUCGUGCCAGCAGCCGCAGUAA